RNAcentral lists this unclassified non-coding RNA (332 nucleotides) under soil metagenome. RNAcentral's name for it is "partial contains 5.8S ribosomal RNA, internal transcribed spacer 2, and large subunit ribosomal RNA". The stretch from base 1 to 120 matches the Rfam family "5.8S ribosomal RNA", at positions 35 to 154 of the family's 154-position model. The record is from RNAcentral.
GAUGAAGAACGCAGCAAAAUGCGAUAAGUAAUGUGAAUUGCAGAAUUCAGUGAAUCAUCGAAUCUUUGAACGCACAUUGCGCCCGCCAGUAUUCUGGCGGGCAUGCCUGUUCGAGCGUCAUUUCAACCCUCAAGCACAGCUUGGUGUUGGGACUCGCGUUAAUUCGCGUUCCCCAAAUUGAUUGGCGGUCACGUCGAGCUUCCAUAGCGUAGUAGUAAAACCCUCGUUACUGGUAAUUGUCGCGGCCACGCCGUUAAACCCCAACUUCUGAAUGUUGACCUCGGAUCAGGUAGGAAUACCCGCUGAACUUAAGCAUAUCAAUAAGCGGAGGA